RNAcentral lists this transfer RNA (82 nucleotides) under Ignavibacteriales bacterium. Its description in RNAcentral is "tRNA-Leu". It matches the Rfam family "tRNA". From Rfam's summary of the family: Transfer RNA (tRNA) molecules are approximately 80 nucleotides in length. Their secondary structure includes four short double-helical elements and three loops (D, anti-codon, and T loops). Further hydrogen bonds mediate the characteristic L-shaped molecular structure. tRNAs have two regions of fundamental functional importance: the anti-codon, which is responsible for specific mRNA codon recognition, and the 3' end, to which the tRNAs corresponding amino acid is attached (by aminoacyl-tRNA synthetases). tRNAs cope with the degeneracy of the genetic code in two manners: having more than one tRNA (with a specific anti-codon) for a particular amino acid; and 'wobble' base-pairing, i.e. permitting non-standard base-pairing at the 3rd anti-codon position. The record is from RNAcentral. Lineage: Bacteria; Pseudomonadati; Ignavibacteriota; Ignavibacteria; Ignavibacteriales.
GCGAAAGUGGCGAAAUUGGCAGACGCGCUAGACUUAGGAUCUAGUGGAGCAAUCCGUGGGGGUUCGAGUCCCCCCUUUCGCA